AUCCGCACCUCUCAGCCUCUCUGUAAUCGGCCUUCAAUCCUAAAAAAACCUCCACUUUGCAUCUCUUUUGUAGCCCAAGAUUCAAGAGUUUCAAGCGAUUUUGAGUUCGACGACGACUGAGUUUCAGGCGGUUUGGGACUUCGCCGCCUACGAUCCGGUUGGAGGCGGCGUUGUUGCUACGUUCUCUAUGUAUUUCCAUCACCGAUCAUGGAGUAUCUCUUCUGAUUUGCUGCAUUUGUUCCUCUGUUUUUUUUCCCCCUAUAUAUCCGAUUUGCACGCUUUGCAUGUCUUUGUCAGUGCUAAUUUUUCUGGGUUGGCAGUUAGCGGAUCAGAGAGAUAAAGAGGGCAGUGGCGGUGGCGGUGGCGUUGGCAAUCUGUGGUGGUGGUGAUUUCGGUGGCCAGAGACAACCAAAACCAAAUCUGUGGACAGCUAAAGGGUUAGUGAAAGAGUGGUCUCAUUACCCUACCCACAGUCAAAGGGUAUAGUAUGUAAGAAAGCGUCAAUUCGUUAAUGGGGCUCUUCUAAAAAACCGUUGGGAUGCGAAAGAUGUAAUACUCGUUGAACAUUCCCUAUGAAUUGAGGAGAUGUUGCUUUUCAACUCAAACUUCGAUGGUACCCAAAGCAACCAUGUAUAUUGUGAUUUUAAGAGUUGGGUUUUGUUCUUAAAUGGGCAGUUGCCACUUGCUAGAGUUCAUGGUAUGUAAUAGGUACAUAUGGAUGUGCUAAUUUGUUUGUGGAUACAUCACUUCAUAUUUAAACUCCCCCCUGCUCUUCGUCUCUUAAUGCAUGUAUGUGAGCUGCCAUGCAAAGCCUAGCUUGAAGUUGAAUCCGCCCGAAUAGCACCUGCCCAACAAGGACAUAGCAAUCGAACCAUUGCAAAUGAAGAAAAAUGGCAUCAUUAGGUGUUCGUGGGUAUUUGUUGCAGAUGUUUGGGUUUUGAGUAGGUCAAGAGCCCCAAGUUUGAAUUUAAUGUCAUUUGGCCGAACCUCCAUCAUUCUUUCUUCACCUCUUCGAGAGAGAUCUGGAGACGAAGCUUUCAAAAGGGCCAUGGAUAGCUACAGCAGCCAUUGCAGACCCUAAAAAUCUCCCUUGAGUUCAUCACAUCUUCUUCUUUGUAUCCAAUUUUGAAUCAUUUGUUUAGACUCUUGAGGAAGAAGGAUCUUAACUGAUACAAUUACGUUGAUGGAAUAAACUCUACCAAGAGCUUUUGCUUUGUCUGACUAGAAUAAACUCUACAUUUUGCUAUGUCUAAUCUUUUGGCAAUUGUAUAAAAAACCCUAUAGCCAAAGUCAUGCAAGUAGCUGAAUAACUUGAAACCUUUUUUUCAAUGCAAAAACUUGUCUAGGCCAUAAU
This is a long non-coding RNA of Rhododendron vialii, 1354 nucleotides long. RefSeq lists it as uncharacterized. The record is from RefSeq and is a predicted model, not a curated record. NCBI's taxonomy places the organism in Eukaryota, Viridiplantae, Streptophyta, Magnoliopsida, Ericales, Ericaceae. The transcript has 5 exons.